Molecule: long non-coding RNA, 793 nt
Organism: Scomber scombrus (Atlantic mackerel)
Lineage: Eukaryota; Metazoa; Chordata; Actinopteri; Scombriformes; Scombridae
Exons: 3
Source: RefSeq, a predicted model, not a curated record
ACUCCAACAUCAGAUCAGCUCAGCUCCACAGACACAUGGAGGAACAAGAGGUUAUCGAGUACGCUGCUGUUAACUUUAACAGAGCUGGUACUGCCCCGAGAACCAGAGGUCAGGAAACUGGGGAAGAUCCAUCUGCACUGUACAGCACAGUCAACAAAACCUUAUGAACACAUCAGCAAUCUCAUAUCUGAUAUUGUAAUGUUUUUUUUAAUCUGCAGGUCAUUUUAAAAUACACAUACAUAUAACUCAGGGUGAACGUAUCCAAGAAUGCAUCAUAGAGACAAAUGAAUAUUUUAGAGUAAUUUAAAUUGACAGUUUAGCUGUUUAACUGUUAAUGUAAAUUUCCAUUGAGACAUACUUUCUGUAUUUCUUAAUUUCUUUGAGGAUGCUUCACAACAUUGUAAGAAGUAAAUAUUUGCAUUGACAUGAUGUUGAUGCAAAAGUUUACUGCUGUUGCCAAGUAAGUGUUGAUAUCUUUGAUGUAAAUUUAAAUCCACUUAUUUUAUUGUAUUAAUGUUGUACAUUUUUAUUAUUUUAUGCUUAUAAUACAUUUUGUCUUUAAAACAAUAUUUAAUCUAGUUUUAUUUCACUUACUAUGAUUGCUUUUUCAUUUUCAUAAUCUGUAUUUCUGGUAUAAAUUAGUCCCAAAUUGAUUUUCUUCACUGUCUACAUUUGUUCUGCCUUAUUAUCGGCUUGUCAGUCAUCUGUGAAGCACUUUGAAUUGCACCAACCUGUAUGAAAUGUGCUACACAAAUAAAGUUUGAUUGAAAUUAGUCUGCUAGCUGACUGGAGG